Molecule: non-coding RNA, 280 nt
Organism: Pelobates cultripes (western spadefoot toad)
Lineage: Eukaryota; Metazoa; Chordata; Amphibia; Anura; Pelobatidae
Source: the annotation of a GenBank genome assembly
CCGAGAAGUGCAACAUUGGUGGGAGAACAUAAAGGGGGUGCGUCAGUGGCACGAUUGAAUGCUAGGUUGGCUUACAAUUAAGCAACCCAGCUGACUGAGAGCAGGACUGGCAGGGAGCACUGUUUCACUGUGUCUAAUGAUGCGCUUGCGCUACAGUUUGUGUGGAUAGUUUCCCUGUGUCCCCAAAAGCGAGACACUGAGAAACAAAGCCAAGAUGGUAGGGCAGGACCCUACAAUCCAGACUGUCCUGCCAAAACCAGGAUGGUGCGGAGGCAUGAAA